CUGUACAGUUCAGAGUUUGAUCCUGGCUCAGGACGAACGCUGGCGGCGUGCCUAACACAUGCAAGUCGAGCGGAGCCAUCCGAAUGAUUCCUUCGGGAUGAAUUCGGGGAAGCUUAGCGGCGGACGGGUGAGUAACGCGUGAGUAACCUGCCCAUAAGAGGGGAAUAACACACCGAAAGGUGUGCUAAUACCGCAUGAUGUAUUUUUACCGCAUGAUAGAAAUACCAAAGAUUUUAUCGCUUAUGGAUGGACUCGCGUCUGAUUAGAUAGUUGGUGGGGUAACGGCCUACCAAGUCGACGAUCAGUAGCCGAACUGAGAGGUUGAUCGGCCACAUUGGGACUGAGACACGGCCCAG
RNAcentral lists this ribosomal RNA (356 nucleotides) under uncultured bacterium. RNAcentral's name for it is "bacterial SSU rRNA". It matches the Rfam family "Bacterial small subunit ribosomal RNA", at positions 1 to 334 of the family's 1533-position model. The record is from RNAcentral.